This 492-nucleotide ribosomal RNA is filed under the name uncultured bacterium. Its description in RNAcentral is "partial 16S ribosomal RNA". It matches the Rfam family "Bacterial small subunit ribosomal RNA", at positions 29 to 507 of the family's 1533-position model. The record is from RNAcentral.
AGUGAACGCUGGCGGUAGGCCUAACACAUGCAAGUCGAACGGCAGCACAGUAAGAGCUUGCUCUUACGGGUGGCGAGUGGCGGACGGGUGAGGAAUACAUCGGAAUCUACUUUUUCGUGGGGGAUAACGUAGGGAAACUUACGCUAAUACCGCAUACGACCUACGGGUGAAAGCAGGGGAUCUUCGGACCUUGCGCGAUUGAAUGAGCCGAUGUCGGAUUAGCUAGUUGGCGGGGUAAAGGCCCACCAAGGCGACGAUCCGUAGCUGGGCUGAGAGGAUGAUCAGCCACACUGGAACUGAGACACGGGCCAGACUCCUACGGGAGGCAGAAGUUGGGAAUAUUUGACAAUGGGCGGAAGCCUGAUUCAGUCAUGCCGCGUGGGUGAAGAAGGGCUUCGGGUUGUAAAACCCUUUUUUUGGGGAAGAAAAGGCGGCGGGUUAAACCCCCACGGUUUGACGGUACCCAAAGAAAAAGCACCGGCUAACUUCGUG